CGAUGGGGUAGAGGUGCAGGGUUCAAGAGUAAGCUGUUUGAGGAUGACAACUGAGACAACAGAUGAAAGGGAACCUUUGCCGAAGCAGAUAUGUUCGUCAAAAGCAUAUAUGCUGGGGUUAUCUUGAAGAAGGGUAACACUGUCAUUAUGGGGGACACUCUAUAAUGGGGAGCUACAGAUCGU
This 183-nucleotide non-coding RNA is filed under the name [Bacillus] enclensis. RNAcentral's name for it is "Bacillus enclensis Lysine sequence". It matches the Rfam family "Lysine riboswitch aptamer". From Rfam's summary of the family: Riboswitches are metabolite binding domains within certain messenger RNAs that serve as precision sensors for their corresponding targets. Allosteric rearrangement of mRNA structure is mediated by ligand binding, and this results in modulation of gene expression. The record is from RNAcentral. Lineage: Bacteria; Bacillati; Bacillota; Bacilli; Caryophanales; Bacillaceae.